This 718-nucleotide ribosomal RNA is filed under the name Stenotrophomonas sp. RNAcentral's name for it is "bacterial SSU rRNA". It matches the Rfam family "Bacterial small subunit ribosomal RNA", at positions 23 to 728 of the family's 1533-position model. The record is from RNAcentral. Lineage: Bacteria; Pseudomonadati; Pseudomonadota; Gammaproteobacteria; Lysobacterales; Lysobacteraceae.
CUCAGAGUGAACGCUGGCGGUAGGCCUAACACAUGCAAGUCGAACGGCAGCACAGUAAGAGCUUGCUCUUAUGGGUGGCGAGUGGCGGACGGGUGAGGAAUACAUCGGAAUCUACCUUUUCGUGGGGGAUAACGUAGGGAAACUUACGCUAAUACCGCAUACGACCUUCGGGUGAAAGCAGGGGACCUUCGGGCCUUGCGCGGAUAGAUGAGCCGAUGUCGGAUUAGCUAGUUGGCGGGGUAAAGGCCCACCAAGGCGACGAUCCGUAGCUGGUCUGAGAGGAUGAUCAGCCACACUGGAACUGAGACACGGUCCAGACUCCUACGGGAGGCAGCAGUGGGGAAUAUUGGACAAUGGGCGCAAGCCUGAUCCAGCCAUACCGCGUGGGUGAAGAAGGCCUUCGGGUUGUAAAGCCCUUUUGUUGGGAAAGAAAAGCAGUCGAUUAAUACUCGGUUGUUCUGACGGUACCCAAAGAAUAAGCACCGGCUAACUUCGUGCCAGCAGCCGCGGUAAUACGAAGGGUGCAAGCGUUACUCGGAAUUACUGGGCGUAAAGCGUGCGUAGGUGGUUGUUUAAGUCUGUUGUGAAAGCCCUGGGCUCAACCUGGGAAUUGCAGUGGAUACUGGACGACUAGAGUGUGGUAGAGGGUAGUGGAAUUCCCGGUGUAGCAGUGAAAUGCGUAGAGAUCGGGAGGAACAUCCAUGGCGAAGGCAGCUAC